Molecule: ribosomal RNA, 696 nt
Filed under: uncultured bacterium
Lineage: Bacteria
Description: bacterial SSU rRNA
Rfam family: Bacterial small subunit ribosomal RNA
Source: RNAcentral
AGCUUGCUAAUAAUUCUCUAGUGGCGCACGGGUGAGUAACACGUGAGUACCUGCCCCCAAGAGUGGGAUAGCCCCGGGAAACUGGGAUUAAUACCGCAUAAAGCAAUAAAGCAGCAAUGCGCUUGGGGAUGGGCUCGCGUCCUAUUAGUUAGUUGGUGAGGUAACGGCUCACCAAGGCGAUGACGGGUAGCCGGUCUGAGAGGAUGUCCGGCCACACUGGAACUGAGACACGGUCCAGACACCUACGGGUGGCAGCAGUCGAGAAUCAUUCACAAUGGGGGAAACCCUGAUGGUGCGACGCCGCGUGGGGGAUAAGGUCUUCGGAUUGUAAACCCCUGUCAUGUGGGACAUUAAAAAGAUAGUACCACAAGAGGAAGAGACGGCUAACUCUGUGCCAGCAGCCGCGGUAAUACAGAGGUCUCAAGCGUUGUUCGGAAUCACUGGGCGUAAAGCGUGCGUAGGCGGUUUCGUAAGUCGUGUGUGAAAGGCGGGGGCUCAACCCCCGGACUGCACAUGAUACUGCGAGACUAGAGUAAUGGAGGGGGAACCGGAAUUCUCGGUGUAGCAGUGAAAUGCGUAGAUAUCGAGAGGAACACUCGUGGCGAAGGCGGGUUCCUGGACAUUAACUGACGCUGAGGCACGAAGGCCAGGGGAGCGAAAGGGAUUAGAUACCCCUGUAGUCCUGGCAGUAAACGG